GGCGCUAUAGCCAAGUGGUUACGGCGACAGAUUAGAAUAGGUGGAUUUAGGUUCCGAUUCAAUCUGUUCCUCUUUGAGGGCGCAGGUUCGAAUCCUGCUGGCGUCG
Non-coding RNA from Dendrothele bispora CBS 962.96, 106 nucleotides. The record is from the annotation of a GenBank genome assembly. NCBI's taxonomy places the organism in Eukaryota, Fungi, Basidiomycota, Agaricomycetes, Agaricales.